GGCUCAGAGCGAACGUUUGCGCGGGCCUAACACAUGCAAGUCGAACGCACUAGCAAUAGUGAGUGGCGCACGGGUGCGUAACACGUGGGUAAUCAACCCUUCAGCUUGGGAUAACGACUUGAAAGGGUCGCUAAUACCGGAUACGGCGCGAGAGGCUUCGGCUUCUCACGAGAAAGCCUCGCAAGGGGCACUGAAGGACGAGCCUGCGGCCCAUCAGCUAGUUGGUGAGGUAAGAGCUCACCAAGGCUAAGACGGGUAGCUGGUCUGAGAGGAUGAUCAGCCACACUGGCACUGGAACACGGGCCAGACUCCUACGGGAGGCAGCAGUGAGGAAUAUUGGGCAAUGGGCGAAAGCCUGACCCAGCCACGCCGCGUGAGUGAUGAAGGCCCUCGGGUCGUAAAGCUCUGUGGAGAGGGACGAAAACCCUGGUUUCAAAUAGGCUCCAGGCUUGACGGUACCUCUUUAGCAAGCACCGGCUAACUCUGUG
Molecule: ribosomal RNA, 488 nt
Filed under: uncultured bacterium
Lineage: Bacteria
Description: bacterial SSU rRNA
Rfam family: Bacterial small subunit ribosomal RNA
Source: RNAcentral